This is a long non-coding RNA of Neogale vison (American mink), 482 nucleotides long. RefSeq lists it as uncharacterized. NCBI's taxonomy places the organism in Eukaryota, Metazoa, Chordata, Mammalia, Carnivora, Mustelidae. The transcript is spliced from 3 exons. The record is from RefSeq and is a predicted model, not a curated record.
GCCCCCAGGAGUCGACCCUGCACCUUCCACCUUUCCCAGAAGAAAUCAGUAUCCGCUCUCGAGUUACUAAUCAGGUAGCAGCUGCUCUGCCCGCGCCUCCCCCCACCUCCAUCCACCCACCACCCGGGAGAAGGCCUUGGGAAACCCGGCUGCUACUCCAGGCUGCUCUGCGUGACCUUGAUCAUCAGCGGAACCGCUUGACAAAUGUCCUUACCUGCCUCACAGGAAGUUACUAGAACUGGGGGAAGCCGUGAUGUUUGGAAGUGUUGCAGCCAUCUUGAUACCAUAAGGACAAUCAUCAUUAACCAGCUGAAAAUGACAAAAUGACAGAGGUAAAGAAUCUUGAUCUUUGAUGUCAUCAAGCCCCAGAAUUAACCAACUAUGGAACUGCUCUGCCUCUGGACUUCCUGUAUUCAAAAGACAAUAAAAUGUCCUUAUUGUUUAAGCCAGAAAAAGAUCGGUGGGGGCGCCUGUGUGGCUCA